ACACAGGUGGUCGGGUAGAGAAUACCAAGGCGCUUGAGAGAACUCGGGUGAAGGAACUAGGCAAAAUGGUACCGUAACUUCGGGAGAAGGUACGCUCUUGAUGGUGAAGUCCCUUGCGGAUGGAGCUGACGAGAGUCGCAGAUACCAGGUGGCUGCAACUGUUUAUUAAAAACACAGCACUGUGCAAAAUCGUAAGAUGACGUAUACGGUGUGACGCCUGCCCGGUGCCGGAAGGUUAAUUG
RNAcentral lists this ribosomal RNA (242 nucleotides) under Vibrio parahaemolyticus. RNAcentral describes it as "partial 23S ribosomal RNA". It matches the Rfam family "Bacterial large subunit ribosomal RNA", at positions 1657 to 1883 of the family's 2925-position model. The record is from RNAcentral. Lineage: Bacteria; Pseudomonadati; Pseudomonadota; Gammaproteobacteria; Vibrionales; Vibrionaceae.